RNAcentral lists this small RNA (305 nucleotides) under Otolemur garnettii (small-eared galago). RNAcentral describes it as "Metazoan signal recognition particle RNA (ENSOGAG00000026391.1)". Lineage: Eukaryota; Metazoa; Chordata; Mammalia; Primates; Galagidae. The record is from RNAcentral.
GCCAGGCGUUGUGGCGGGCGCCUGUGGUCCCAGCUACUUGGGAGGCGGGAGGCAGGAGACUCGCUUGAGCCCAGGAGUUGGAGGUUGCUGUGAGCUGUAAUGCCAUGGCACUCUACCCAGGGGGACAGCUUGAGGCUCUGUCUCAAAAAAAAAUAAAAAAGAAGAAAAUCAUAAAGGAGAGAAAAUAUUUUUCCUAUUCUGUAUCAUUAUUCAUUAUCUUUUUUUUUUUUUUUUUUUGAGACAGAGCCUCAAGCUGUCCCCCUGGGUAGAGUGCCAUGGCUUCACUGCUCACAGCAACCUCUAAC